UUCUGGCUCAGGAUGAACGCUAGCGGCAGGCCUAAUACAUGCAAGUCGUACGGUAAAGUCCCCUUCGGGGGAUUGAGAGUGGCGGACGGGUGCGUAACGCGUAUGCAACCCACCCCCGACGGGCGGAUAGCCGGUGGAAACGCCGGAUAACCCGCCAUGCGGCCCCACAGGGGCAUCCCUGUGGAGUCAAAGCGGCGACGCGGUCGGGGACGGGCAUGCGUCCCAUUAGAUGGUUGGCGGUGCAAUGGACCACCAAGUCUACGAUGGGUAGGGGAUCUGAGAGGACGGUCCCCCACACUGGUACUGAGACACGGACCAGACUCCUGCGGGAGGCAGCAGUAAGGGAUAUUGGGCAAUGGGGGGCAACCCUGACCCAGCCAUGCCCGCGUGAGGGAAUGAGGCCCUACGGGUCGUGAACCUCUUUUGUCCGGGGACAAGGCAUCCCACGCGAUGGGAUGUUGAGGGUACCGGGAGAAUAAGCGUCGGCUAACUCCGUGCCAGCCGCGGC
This 508-nucleotide ribosomal RNA is filed under the name uncultured bacterium. RNAcentral describes it as "bacterial SSU rRNA". It matches the Rfam family "Bacterial small subunit ribosomal RNA", at positions 17 to 518 of the family's 1533-position model. The record is from RNAcentral.